UACGGAGGGUGCAAGCGUUAUCCGGAUUCACUGGGUUUAAAGGGUGCGUAGGCGGGCAGGUAAGUCAGUGGUGAAAUCUCCGGGCUUAACCCGGAACUGCCGUUGAUACUAUCUGUCUUGAAUAUCGUGGAGGUAAGCGGAAUAUGUCAUGUAGCGGUGAAAUGCUUAGAUAUGACAUAGAACACCCAUUGCGAAGGCAGCUUACUACACGAUCAUUGACGCUGAGGCACGAAAAGCGUGGGGGAGCAAAACAGG
RNAcentral lists this ribosomal RNA (255 nucleotides) under uncultured bacterium. RNAcentral describes it as "partial 16S ribosomal RNA". It matches the Rfam family "Bacterial small subunit ribosomal RNA", at positions 524 to 776 of the family's 1533-position model. The record is from RNAcentral.